GCCAGUGUGGCUCAGUUGGUAGAGCACUAUCCCAUACACCGAAAGGUCAUAGGUUCAAUUCCUGUCAGGGCA
RNAcentral lists this transfer RNA (72 nucleotides) under Myotis lucifugus (little brown bat). It matches the Rfam family "tRNA". Rfam says of the family: Transfer RNA (tRNA) molecules are approximately 80 nucleotides in length. Their secondary structure includes four short double-helical elements and three loops (D, anti-codon, and T loops). Further hydrogen bonds mediate the characteristic L-shaped molecular structure. tRNAs have two regions of fundamental functional importance: the anti-codon, which is responsible for specific mRNA codon recognition, and the 3' end, to which the tRNAs corresponding amino acid is attached (by aminoacyl-tRNA synthetases). tRNAs cope with the degeneracy of the genetic code in two manners: having more than one tRNA (with a specific anti-codon) for a particular amino acid; and 'wobble' base-pairing, i.e. permitting non-standard base-pairing at the 3rd anti-codon position. The record is from Rfam by way of RNAcentral. Lineage: Eukaryota; Metazoa; Chordata; Mammalia; Chiroptera; Vespertilionidae.